Colletotrichum tofieldiae is the source of this 72-nucleotide non-coding RNA. NCBI's taxonomy places the organism in Eukaryota, Fungi, Ascomycota, Sordariomycetes, Glomerellales, Glomerellaceae. The record is from the annotation of a GenBank genome assembly.
GCGAUUAUAGUUUAACGGUUAGAAUACCUCGUUGUGGCCGAGGAGAUGGAAGUUCGAUUCCUCCUAAUCGCA